Non-coding RNA from Phrynosoma platyrhinos (Desert horned lizard), 72 nucleotides. The record is from the annotation of a GenBank genome assembly. Lineage: Eukaryota; Metazoa; Chordata; Lepidosauria; Squamata; Phrynosomatidae.
GCCAGCAUGGUGUAGUGGUUUGAGUGUUGGACUACGACUCUGGAGACCAGGGUUCAAUUCCCAACUCAGCCA